RNAcentral lists this ribosomal RNA (430 nucleotides) under uncultured Enterobacter sp. RNAcentral's name for it is "bacterial SSU rRNA". It matches the Rfam family "Bacterial small subunit ribosomal RNA", at positions 505 to 933 of the family's 1533-position model. Lineage: Bacteria; Pseudomonadati; Pseudomonadota; Gammaproteobacteria; Enterobacterales; Enterobacteriaceae. The record is from RNAcentral.
GUGCCAGCAGCAGCGGUAAUACGGAGGGUGCGAGCGUUAAUCGGAAUUACUGGGCGUAAAGCGCACGCAGGCGGUCUGUCAAGUCGGAUGUGAAAUCCCCGGGCUCAACCUGGGAACUGCAUUCGAAACUGGCAGGCUAGAGUCUUGUAGAGGGGGGUAGAAUUCCAGGUGUAGCGGUGAAAUGCGUAGAGAUCUGGAGGAAUACCGGUGCGAAGGCGGCCCCCUGGACAAAGACUGACGCUCAGGUGCGAAAGCGUGGGGAGCAAACAGGAUUAGAUACCCUGGUAGUCCACGCCGUAAACGAUGUCGACUUGGAGGUUGUGCCCUUGAGGCGUGGCUUCCGGAGCUAACGCGUUAAGUCGACCGCCUGGGGAGUACGGCCGCAAGGUUAAAACUCGAAAUGAAUUGACGGGGGCCCGCGACAAGCGGU